RNAcentral lists this ribosomal RNA (1412 nucleotides) under metagenome. RNAcentral describes it as "bacterial SSU rRNA". It matches the Rfam family "Bacterial small subunit ribosomal RNA". The record is from RNAcentral.
CGGUCUGGUGGCGAGUGGCGAACGGGUGAGUAAUGCAUCGGAACGUGCCAUUGAGUGGGGGAUAACGUAGCGAAAGUUGCGCUAAUACCGCAUAUUCUGUGAGCAGGAAAGCAGGGGACCGCAAGGCCUUGCGCUCUUUGAGCGGCCGAUGUCAGAUUAGCUAGUUGGUGAGGUAAAGGCUUACCAAGGCGACGAUCUGUAGCGGGUCUGAGAGGAUGAUCCGCCACACUGGAACUGAGACACGGUCCAGACUCCUACGGGAGGCAGCAGUGGGGAAUUUUGGACAAUGGGGGCAACCCUGAUCCAGCCAUGCCGCGUGAGUGAUAAGGCCUUCGGGUUGUAAAGCUCUUUCGGCCGGGAAGAAAUCGCAUGGGCCAAUACCCUGUGUGGAUGACGGUACCAGAAUAAGAAGCACCGGCUAACUACGUGCCAGCAGCCGCGGUAAUACGUAGGGUGCGAGCGUUAAUCGGAAUUACUGGGCGUAAAGCGUGCGCAGGCGGUUUUGUAAGACAGGCGUGAAAUCCCCGGGCUUAACCUGGGAACUGCGUUUGUGACUGCAAGGCUAGAGUACGGCAGAGGGGGGUGGAAUUCCACGUGUAGCAGUGAAAUGCGUAGAGAUGUGGAGGAACACCAAUGGCGAAGGCAGCCCCCUGGGUCGAUACUGACGCUCAUGCACGAAAGCGUGGGUAGCAAACAGGAUUAGAUACCCUGGUAGUCCACGCCCUAAACUAUGUCAACUAGGUGUUGGGUGGGUAAAACCAUUUAGUACCGUAGCUAACGCGUGAAGUUGACCGCCUGGGGAGUACGGCCGCAAGGUUAAAACUCAAAGGAAUUGACGGGGACCCGCACAAGCGGUGGAUGAUGUGGAUUAAUUCGAUGCAACGCGAAAAACCUUACCUACCCUUGACAAGCCAGGAACUUGCCAGAGAUGGCUUGGUGCCCGAAAGGGAGCCUGGACACAGGUGCUGCAUGGCUGUCGUCAGCUCGUGUCGUGAGAUGUUGGGUUAAGUCCCGCAACGAGCGCAACCCUUGUCGUUAAUUGCCAUCAUUUGGUUGGGCACUUUAACGAGACUGCCGGUGACAAACCGGAGGAAGGUGGGGAUGACGUCAAGUCCUCAUGGCCCUUAUGGGUAGGGCUUCACACGUCAUACAAUGGUCGGUACAAAGGGUUGCCAAGCCGCGAGGCGGAGCCAAUCCCAGAAAGCCGAUCGUAGUCCGGAUUGCAGGCUGCAACUCGCCUGCAUGAAGUCGGAAUCGCUAGUAAUCGUGGAUCAGCAUGUCACGGUGAAUACGUUCCCGGGUCUUGUACACACCGCCCGUCACACCAUGGGAGCGGGUUCCGCCAGAAGUAGGUAGCCUAACCGCAAGGGGGGCGCUUACCACGGCGGGGUUCGUGACUGGGGUGAAGUCGU